Molecule: long non-coding RNA, 683 nt
Organism: Triticum aestivum (bread wheat)
Lineage: Eukaryota; Viridiplantae; Streptophyta; Magnoliopsida; Poales; Poaceae
Exons: 4
Source: RefSeq, a predicted model, not a curated record
UGUGUUUGUGGGGGGGGGGGGGGGUAAAACCCCUGGGAAUGCAUUCUUCACUUGAACAGAUUCAAUAAUUUAUCCCAACACUCUCUUUGUAUUUUUGUCUUUGAGGGAAUCUAAGAUUUGAUGUAAAUCAGUUUUCCCUUUCAUUUCUUCGUAAGAAUUAUUUUCUGUACUAUAAUUAUUUAAUGUGGUGUAUCUCUUCUAAUAAUCUUAGCCGACCUGGUUUACUUGUUUUGAUACGAUUGUUCCAUGGAAUCCCAGGGUCUGAUGAAGCAAGGUGCAGGACACCUCAGAACCGCCUAUGUUUGUGACAGUGCACUGGGGCUCAAGCGACAAUGAGCAGGUGGGAGGAUCGUUCAGCUGACCAAGUGCAGUAUGACGGUGAUCUCUGAACAGUUGCAAGGAGGGUAAUAACAUGUUAGCUCCUCUUAAUAUCUUGGUUGAUGCCAUCUGUUAGAUUUAGCCCACCGAGUCCCUAUUUUGCAUUUACUUUGCUUCUCUAAAGUUCUCUUCGUGCUGCAAGGAAGACACGAGGGUGUCAUUCUGCUUCUCCUUGCAUGUCUAUUUGUGCGCUUGGGUUGCAGAUCAGGUUACUGACACAUGGGAUCGUACAGUUAUUCUAUUACUCAGGGCCCACCCUGGUGGUCAUUAUAUCUCUGGGGUAAGCAAGCUGAGCAGGUUAUGCA